Molecule: ribosomal RNA, 627 nt
Filed under: uncultured bacterium
Lineage: Bacteria
Description: bacterial SSU rRNA
Rfam family: Bacterial small subunit ribosomal RNA
Source: RNAcentral
UCUAUCUUCAAGUGGGGUAUAACUUUCCGAAAGGGGAGAUAAUGCCGAAUGUGGUGAUCCGACGCCUGUCGGAGAUUCUAAAGGUGGGGACCGUAAGGCCUGCCGCUUGAAGCCGAGCCCGUGCACUAUCAGCUAGUUGGUAGGGUAAUGGCCUACCAAGGCAAUGACGGUUAGCUGGUCUGAGAGGAUGGUCAGCCACACUGGGACUGAGAUACUGCCCAGACUCCUACGGGAGGCUGCAGUCGAGAAUCAUUCGCAAUGGGCGAAAGCCUGACGGUGCGACGUCGCGUGGAGGAUGAAGGUCUUCGGAUUGUAAACUCCUGUCAUGAGGGAUAAAUGGCCAGGGCAAUAAUACUGCCUUGGAAUGAUAGUACCUCAGGAGGAAGAGACGGCUAACUCUGUGCCAGCAGCCGCGGUAAUACAGAGGUCUCAAGCGUUGUUCGGAUUUACUGGGCGUAAAGGGAGCGUAGGCGGUUUGGUAUGUCGAAUGUGAAAGCCCACAACUCAACUGUGGAAAUGCAUUCGAAACUGCCGGACUAGAGUACUGGAGAGGAGAGCGGAAUUCUUGGUGUAGCGGUGAAAUGCGUAGAUAUCAAGAGGAACACCGGUGGCGAAGGCGGCUCUCUG